GUAGCGUAUAUAAACCUCUUGCCCUGCGUUGGGGUUUUCAUUGCUCAUGAUUUACACCAUUUGACAACAACGUUUGAAGUCGAGUUAACUUUUUAAACCUUCUGUAAACUCGUCAAAUAAUCACUUCCACACUUCACCUUCUGGAAGAGACAACCGAGUUUUACCGCUGAAGAGAGACUUCCGCGUAGAUUUCGCCGUAAAUCGGAUGAAAUUAUUGGCAUAUUCUGAGUGUUUAGAGUCAAUAAGGUCCACGAUCGGCUUUAUCUACAGCUAUCAUUGAAAGAAUCUUCUCCUACUGUCCGUUAUCACAGGACUGACGAUAACCGCGGUAUGUCUGCCUCCUGCGGAGGUGUUUAUACAACCCCUCGCAAACCGGUUAUAAACGUACCCUGCAUGUGAUGUCCGGACCAGAAUCUGUUAAGACUGCAACGAAGAAACCUAUACCACGUCUCCAAGAAAAUUAUUAAAGGGAUCUUUUAAUUGCCUUCAUCAUUUUCAUUACAAUUAUAAGAAUGGUUGAGUUCCUCUACUUCGUGUGCCUUCUCGGAGUGACGAGCAGACUAUCCGCGUCACCACUCUCAUUAACUGAUGUUAAGGACGAUGAUAUCGCCGUCCCGGCUGACGCGGAAGAUGUGCAUGUUCCCGGACAAUUUCUUGUGAACUAUGAAAACUUGUUGAAUUCUGAUGAGGACUUGAGUUAUCCAAUCCUGCCAUUACCCGAUAAUCCGCCGGAAUGGCUGAUGACGCUGAUUCACAACACCGUGGCUCACUCCUCUGAUCUUUCAAACAGACAAAAGCGCGCGUAUCAGGACUAUUCAGACCCGCGCCUCCAGGCAAUUUUACGCGCUUUUUACUCUACAUAUGGUGGAUAUGGCACCAUGGGUCUUCGAUAUGGACGUUCAGUUAGAUCUCUGCAAAGACGUGUUGGUCCUCUUCAACGUAGAAUUUUACAUAAUUCGUUUUUGAAACAAAUGAAAGCAAACACCCAUUCUAGAGGUCGUUUUCACAGAUCAUUAUACAGACGAGUCGAUAUCCAAAGACUUCUAAGACGGUUCUACUCCAGUGGAAAAAAAUUCGGACGUUUCGGUCUGCAAUACAGGUAGAGGAGGGAAAGUGUGCUAUACCUUCAGUACAGGGUAUCUGAUUGACCUCAUAGGCAGCAUGCUUUGGAUUGUGACUUCGCUAGCGUCAUGGCGUCUUAGCAACUUUAUGAAGUCGUCAAUACAAUUUCACAUGAGUGGGUGAUGAAUCUCUGACUUGUAAAUAAUAUAUAUUGUAUUUAUUUUAAUUGUUUGUAAAUAUUGUAAUAAGAAAAGUCUCAGGUAAAUUUUACCUAAAUUAAAUCUAUAUGGUUCGAAUCAA
Molecule: long non-coding RNA, 1362 nt
Organism: Ostrea edulis (European flat oyster)
Lineage: Eukaryota; Metazoa; Mollusca; Bivalvia; Ostreida; Ostreidae
Exons: 2
Source: RefSeq, a predicted model, not a curated record